This is a long non-coding RNA of Oryza brachyantha (malo sina), 1087 nucleotides long. RefSeq lists it as uncharacterized. The transcript has 4 exons. NCBI's taxonomy places the organism in Eukaryota, Viridiplantae, Streptophyta, Magnoliopsida, Poales, Poaceae. The record is from RefSeq and is a predicted model, not a curated record.
UGGAUUUCCGUCUGUUGUGUGGAAUGAACCAAAUUGAAUUGGUCCAAUAAAAUGGCAUAAGUUCACAUUUAACUUGAUGUUUAAUGUCUCUUUUUGUUUGACUUUGCUUCUCUUGAUGAGUGUAGCAUCAUAUUUUCGUAUUGACCUAGGAUAACUGGCUCCUGAAGGGAUAUGUUGUUUAUUCAGUGCACAUAUGGGUACCUAUUUCUUGUUGCCAGAAAGUUUUGAAUCUUAAUGCAGGUACUGUAACUGUUCAAUGAGGCUAUCUCAUGCCUUAGGCUACUAAUAUGAAGCUGUAUACAUCAGGGGUUUCCCCAAAAGGGUGAAAGACUUGUAUAACAACGGACACCAACUAUUUACUUAUCAGUAUGAGCAGCACAACUUAUUUAUUGAGUUCGACUCGGUAAUAGUGGGAUAGUAAACUUGAUUUCAGUUUUGGCAAGGUAGUACAGUAUGGAAUCAUAUAUCUUUAAUGUCAAGCUAUUGCAAACUAAACAAUGGGCUCAUCAUGGAACGGAAGCUUCUUAUACCGAUCAGCUUGUUAUUAAUUUGAGCAAUUUCAACUUGCAGCUAGAAUGGGGAUGCUCCAACUUCAACUGCACAGAAGACAAGUUCAUUUUCAACUAGGAGCAAACCUUUCCUAGCUUAUAUGGGAUCCUGCUUUCCUUGUUUUCAGAUCAGACCGAUUCAUUAUUCAUGGACCAAUGGGCCAUGAGCUCUGCAGGGUCAGCGUAAGCACAACAGAUGAUCUGACUCGUGAAGAGGAAGAGAGGAGCCGGAGACAAGCAGAUGAUCCGGUUCGCCGACCCAGUCGAACACUCUGCCCCAUCCAGCCAUUCUCUCUGGCUGCUGCAUGGACAUGGAGACACAUGCAUUUUGCAUCUACAGUUUCUCCCAUGUUCUGCUCAUCCUCCUCGUCACCCCCAUGCCCCAUCCUCCCAACCACUCGUGACUGCAGCUGGAUGGCGACGCCGUCUCUCUUCCUUCGUGCACCGAUCCACCAUGAUGCCAUCGUGCGUGCUAUGGUAUGGCCCCUGCCCCGAGGAUGGAUGAACCGACCAAGCUUACAAGAAUCCCUAAAUAUUUA